CCUACGGGUGGCAGCAGUGAGGAAUAUUGGUCAAUGGGCGGAAGCCUGAACCAGCCAAGUCGCGUGAGGGAGUAAGGCCCUACGGGUCGUAAACCUCUUUUGCCGGGGAGCAGUGCCCAGCUCGUGAGCUGGGAGGGAGCGUACCCGGAGAAAAAGCAUCGGCUAACUCCGUGCAAGCAGCCGCGGUAAUACGGAGGAUGCGAGCGUUAUCCGGAUGUAAUGGGUUUAAAGGUUGCGCAGGCGGCCUGUUAAGUCAGCGGUAAAAGCCCGGGGCUCAACCCCGGCGAGCCGUUGAAACUGGCGGGCUGGAGUUGGAGAGAAGUACGCGGAAUGCGCGGUGUAGCGGUGAAAUGCUUAGAUAUCGCGCAGAACCCCGAUUGCGAAGGCAGCGUACCGGCUCCACACUGACGCUGAGGCACGAAAGCGUGGGUAUCGAACAGGAUUAGAUACCCUUGUAGUC
This 460-nucleotide ribosomal RNA is filed under the name uncultured bacterium. RNAcentral describes it as "partial 16S ribosomal RNA". It matches the Rfam family "Bacterial small subunit ribosomal RNA", at positions 338 to 795 of the family's 1533-position model. The record is from RNAcentral.